Molecule: long non-coding RNA, 150 nt
Organism: Drosophila miranda
Lineage: Eukaryota; Metazoa; Arthropoda; Insecta; Diptera; Drosophilidae
Exons: 2
Source: RefSeq, a predicted model, not a curated record
CCCCCCCCCCCCCUUCGGCCUAGGGCUCGACGGCGUCCCACUGGGAUUUCGGCCAGUACUAUUGGCCAGGUGGCCGCUUCUCUGCUUGCGGACUUGCGUUCCGCGCAGGCUAACUUCCGACGUUUUCCACUGAAUUAUACGGAACGAUUU